AAGGGAAGCCGGUAGAGGCCAGCGGCACGGGCUGAAUCCGGCACGGUCCCGCCACUGUGAGUGGGGAGCCACGUCCGACCCCCCGGAGGCCACGGCCUCGGGGGAGCCACUGGGAGCGAUCCCGGGAAGGCCGGAGGUGUGGCGAUGAUCCACGAGUCAGGAGACCU
This is a non-coding RNA of Candidatus Rokubacteria bacterium GWC2_70_16, 167 nucleotides long. NCBI's taxonomy places the organism in Bacteria, Candidatus Rokuibacteriota. The record is from Rfam.